RNAcentral lists this ribosomal RNA (117 nucleotides) under Cordylochernes scorpioides. The record is from RNAcentral. Lineage: Eukaryota; Metazoa; Arthropoda; Arachnida; Pseudoscorpiones; Chernetidae.
ACGACCAUACCACAUUGAAAACACCGGUUCUCGUCCGAUCACCGAAGUUAAGCAAUGUCGGGCCUGGUCAGUACUUGGAAGGGUGACCACCUGGGAACACCGGUGUAACUGUAGGCU